CGGGUGAGUAAUGCCUAGGAAUCUGCCUGGUAGUGGGGGACAACGUUUCGAAAGGAACGCUAAUACCGCAUACGUCCUACGGGAGAAAGCAGGGGACCUUCGGGCCUUGCGCUAUCAGAUGAGCCUAGGUCGGAUUAGCUAGUUGGUGGGGUAAUGGCUCACCAAGGCGACGAUCCGUAACUGGUCUGAGAGGAUGAUCAGUCACACUGGAACUGAGACACGGUCCAGACUCCUACGGGAGGCAGCAGUGGGGAAUAUUGGACAAUGGGCGAAAGCCUGAUCCAGCCAUGCCGCGUGUGUGAAGAAGGUCUUCGGAUUGUAAAGCACUUUAAGUUGGGAGGAAGGGCAUUAACCUAAUACGUUAGUGUUUUGACGUUACCGACAGAAUAAGCACCGGCUAACUCUGUGCCAGCAGCCGCGGUAAUACAGAGGGUGCAAGCGUUAAUCGGAAUUACUGGGCGUAAAGCGCGCGUAGGUGGUUUGUUAAGUUGGAUGUGAAAGCCCCGGGCUCAACCUGGGAACUGCAUCCAAAACUGGCAAGCUAGAGUACGGUAGAGGGUGGUGGAAUUUCCUGUGUAGCGGUGAAAUGCGUAGAUAUAGGAAGGAACACCAGUGGCGAAGGCGACCACCUGGACUGAUACUGACACUGAGGUGCGAAAGCGUGGGGAGCAAACAGGAUUAGAUACCCUGGUAGUCCACGCCGUAAACGAUGUCAACUAGCCGUUGGAAUCCUUGAGAUUUUAGUGGCGCAGCUAACGCAU
This 761-nucleotide ribosomal RNA is filed under the name Pseudomonas putida. RNAcentral describes it as "bacterial SSU rRNA". It matches the Rfam family "Bacterial small subunit ribosomal RNA", at positions 103 to 860 of the family's 1533-position model. Lineage: Bacteria; Pseudomonadati; Pseudomonadota; Gammaproteobacteria; Pseudomonadales; Pseudomonadaceae. The record is from RNAcentral.